GAUGAACGCUGGCGGCGUGCCUAAUACAUGCAAGUCGAGCGAACAGACGAGGAGCUUGCUCCUCUGACGUUAGCGGCGGACGGGUGAGUAACACGUGGAUAACCUACCUAUAAGACUGGGAUAACUUCGGGAAACCGGAGCUAAUACCGGAUAACAUGUUGAACCGCAUGGUUCAACAGUGAAAGACGGUCUUGCCGUCACUUAUAGAUGGAUCCGCGCCGCAUUAGCUAGUUGGUAAGGUAACGGCUUACCAAGGCAACGAUGCGUAGCCGACCUGAGAGGGUGAUCGGCCACACUGGAACUGAGACACGGUCCAGACUCCUACGGGAGGCAGCAGUAGGGAAUCUUCCGCAAUGGGCGAAAGCCUGACGGAGCAACGCCGCGUGAGUGAAGAAGGUCUUCGGAUCGUAAAACUCUGUUACUAGGGAAGAACAAAUGUGUAAGUAACUAUGCACGUCUUGACGGUACCUAAUCAGAAAGCCACGGCUAACUACGUG
RNAcentral lists this ribosomal RNA (497 nucleotides) under uncultured bacterium. Its description in RNAcentral is "partial 16S ribosomal RNA". It matches the Rfam family "Bacterial small subunit ribosomal RNA", at positions 28 to 507 of the family's 1533-position model. The record is from RNAcentral.